Long non-coding RNA from Etheostoma cragini (Arkansas darter), 339 nucleotides. RefSeq lists it as uncharacterized. The record is from RefSeq and is a predicted model, not a curated record. The transcript has 3 exons. NCBI's taxonomy places the organism in Eukaryota, Metazoa, Chordata, Actinopteri, Perciformes, Percidae.
UUACAAACAGGCAUGAUGUGCCAAGCCAAAACACCCCACUCGCUUUAACCUUGCAUGCCAUUGGUGAAGGGCUCGUUCAGAGUUGAUCUGCGUCGGUUCCACAACACAUAACCUACCAGCACACCACGGUGGACUUACCUGAGGGGGUUCAGACUGUACGGCAGUAAGGUAGUUCUCCAGGGCCAGGCGACGGUUGUUGUUAAGUAUGGCUUCCACUCUGGCAAGAUGAGUUUCCACCAGCCUCUGUCUCUCUCCAGCGACCUGUUCUUCCAGUGUUUGCAGCACAGACUGGAAGUGCUUAUAGAUGAGGGAAUAGAUGCAAGGGUUGUCAUUCUACAA